Molecule: ribosomal RNA, 253 nt
Filed under: uncultured bacterium
Lineage: Bacteria
Description: partial 16S ribosomal RNA
Rfam family: Bacterial small subunit ribosomal RNA
Source: RNAcentral
UACGAAGGGGGCUAGCGUUGCUCGGAAUUACUGGGCGUAAAGGGUGCGUAGGCGGCACUGUUAGUCAGGCGUGAAAUUCCUGGGCUCAACCUGGGGACUGCGCUUGAUACGGCAGAGCUAGAGGAUGGAAGAGGCUCGCGGAAUUCCCAGUGUAGAGGUGAAAUUCGUAGAUAUUGGGAAGAACACCGGUGGCGAAGGCGGCGAGCUGGUCCAUUACUGACGCUGAGGCGCGACAGCGUGGGGAGCAAACAGG